CCAAUGGACAAGGUUUUUUCCUACUCUUCUUUCUCUUUCGUCUCCUUCACCGAGGGAUUAACUUUCUCCCCUUCUCUUGUUCUCUUCUUUCUCCUUGGUCUCUUUAGCCGAUUAACUUUCUCUCCUUUCUCCUUUCUAUCCUCCUCCCGUUGCUUCAUUCUAUUCGAUCUUCAUCUUGUCGUUGUUUUCAUCCUCUCAAGUUUUUUGAUCUGGUACCAGAGCAUUUUUGCGGAUCUCAGAUCCGAGAGCGAAGCUCGUCAAUACGAUGCUGACCGUGAUGUAAACUAAGGAAGAGAAGAGAAGCUCACUCGUCGUAACCCUCUCGAUUUUCCUAUCAUCAGAAACCCUUGAUGACACCGAGAGCGAAGCUCGUCAAUGCAAUGUUGACCGCUCCUAUUUUGGCGGCUUUGGUUGCGCCACCGGAAAGGUGCUCUCUGUUAUUUUUUCCUUACCUUCCAAUUUUCAGAUAUAUUUUAGGGUUCAAAUGAGUUAAAUUUGAUUACUUGCUUGCGCAGGUGAAAAUUCUUCUUCUUAUUCUUCUCCAUUUUUCUAUUCAUCAGAUAUAUAGUUAGGUUUAUAGCCCUAUUGAUUGAUUUGUGUUCUGUGAUAGGUGAGUAGGAUCAUAGAUUUGUGCUGCAUUAAUUUGGGUCCAAACUAAAAUCUGAAUCUUGUUGUAGGACAUGCAAGGUCAUGUUCUUUGUCUGUUCGUUGCAAGGAUGCUCAUGGUCACCAUGCUCAAGGGCUCUCAUGUUUAAACCAAUGCAGCAUCCUUCGUUGUAUCAACCUGUUAAGAAGCUACAGAGAUCAAUUUUCGCAUCUAACAGUUAGGAUUCCCUUGUGUUACAGAUUCACAUGGACACUAUUGAAGUCAGUAACCUGAAUAGGCAAUUUCUAUUCCGUCCUUCUCAUGUUGGGCACUCCAAGGCUAAGUUUAGGUACAUGUAAGCAAAUUUCUUUCUUCUCCGGUUCAGCUGAUUUAUCUCUGAUGGUGUCAUUAAGCAACCUGAGCUCAUUCUCCCUCGCCUUAAGUUCCUUGAGAGAUGCUUCCAUCAGCUCAGCUUCCUUUCUCCUUGUCUCGGUCUCUGCAGUUUGCUUCAGGUCAAAAUCUUUAACAUUCAUCUCAAAAGCAAAAGACUUCUCUUAUGGGGAAAGCAAAGCAACAUCCUUUUCCCUCGCUUCAAGCUCAGCCAACCCUUGAUGUUUCUGCAUUUCCAUCAAGAUACCUUCAAUAUUUACUUUCUUUUUUUAGUAGUAUGAUGUAUUCUUAUUUUUAAUUAUGUUUUUAGUUUUAUUUUGUAAUAUAGUU
Camelina sativa (false flax) is the source of this 1306-nucleotide non-coding RNA. NCBI's taxonomy places the organism in Eukaryota, Viridiplantae, Streptophyta, Magnoliopsida, Brassicales, Brassicaceae. The record is from RefSeq and is a predicted model, not a curated record.